Molecule: long non-coding RNA, 185 nt
Organism: Sphaeramia orbicularis (orbiculate cardinalfish)
Lineage: Eukaryota; Metazoa; Chordata; Actinopteri; Kurtiformes; Apogonidae
Exons: 3
Source: RefSeq, a predicted model, not a curated record
UUUGCACAUUUACUCUUUUUUUGUGUAAUGAAGCUGCCCCUGAAACAUCAAACCCAGAUGUAUAAAUCAGUGUAUGACCUGCAGUAGAUGAAAGUCAGCAUGGAUACCCUUCGGAGAUGGACUGGACCAGCGUUGUGGACAAAUCCAUAUCAUGUAAAGAAUACACUUCCACAACCACAACCAAC